GCGGGAGGGGCUGAGAGUCUGUGCGAAGGUCGGUGGACAGACUGCACUGCUUGUUGUUGCGCUUCGGAGGCGGCGAUCCCCGAAGGCGAGCUGAAAUACGGCUGGAGCGUUCCCAGGCUACAGUUUGUAGCCGACGAUUAUGGAAGACUAAGAGCCGGAGAGGUGGCCCACCCUCAGGGAGCGCUUGUGCUCGGAGGGCUUCUCAUUUCCCCAAUACCACAUUAAAUCGUCUCAUCUGAGGAGGAUCCACAGAGCUGUCUUCUAUGGUAAUCUGGAGAAACUGGAGUACCUUCUGCUCAUGUAUCAUGACACCAAGGAGAGAGACAAGGAGGAAAGCAUACGGUGAAAGACAGAGAUCACAUUUCAACUAGAUUCUUAGGAAGUAUGGAUUCACUAACUUCAGCAAAGAGAUGGCAGGAGGGCUAAAGUUGAGAAUCCAGGAAAUGGAAAAACACCAGAAGCCUGCAUGACUGGACAACCUUACCCUGAAAGAAGCAGAUCCCAG
This 505-nucleotide long non-coding RNA is filed under the name Pan troglodytes (chimpanzee). RNAcentral's name for it is "long non-coding RNA NONPTRT010190". The record is from RNAcentral. Lineage: Eukaryota; Metazoa; Chordata; Mammalia; Primates; Hominidae.